RNAcentral lists this long non-coding RNA (1164 nucleotides) under Homo sapiens (human). Its description in RNAcentral is "HSALNT0131582". Lineage: Eukaryota; Metazoa; Chordata; Mammalia; Primates; Hominidae. The record is from RNAcentral.
CCGGGCUAAUUUUGUAUUUUUAGUAGAGAUGGUGUUUCACCACGUUGGUCAAGCUGGUCUUGAACUCCUGACCUCAGGUGAUCCGCCUGCCUCGGCCUCCCGAAGUGCUGGGACUACAGGCGUGAGCCACCGCGCCCGGCCCCAGUUGAAUGGUCUUAAUGGCUCUUUUUGCAAUUCUAGAACCAGGCACAGAUCAUUCUAUAAAACAGAACGAGGGCUCUGGCGUGCUGGGUAGAGGAGGUUGGUUUUGUAGACAGAAAGGGGCUGAGGAAGCAGACACAGAACAAAAAGCAGAUCGGUCAUUUCCAAGAGGUUUUCCUUGGAAGGUUCCAGCAGAGGGGACUUCCUCAUCAUGCCGGCAAGACCUGGCUUGUUUGGGGCUAUUCUCUGUCUCCUGGUUUCCUGGAAGGUGAGAUGAACAAGUUAGUUUUGGCUUGAUGACGUGGAGCUCUAGCACGAGUGGCUGCGUUUUGGUCUGUUCUGCCAGGCCUCCUGCAGGAGCUCAGGCCAGACCAGUGGCCUCCUACGAAUUUUAUCAAACGCGACUCAGACGAUGCCGUUCAGGCAAGGUUGAGAACCAAGCCCAGCACUGCCUGGUCCAGCCCCUGGGAAGGAAGGCAGGGCCGGGAGCCCCUCCUGCCGCCAGCAGCGACCCUGUCUCGGAAGGUUGUCUUUUCAGGGACGCUUGUACAGCAGACAGCCUUGGAAGAAAGAGAGAGAGUCUCACUCAGGAGCUCAGGACAGCUUACCUUCACAGGUGCAGAUGAAGGACAGAACUCAAAGCCAUCCCUCUGCUCCCCUGAGACAAACGCAUAUCUGACUGCUUCCUCGGCCCUGUUGUCUCACUGAGCCAGACUAAGGCACACGUGGCCCUUCCCCUACCCCCUCUCACAUGUGGAUUGUGUAUUCAGUGAAAGGCUGAUCAGAGACUCAUAGAAUGCAACCAUCUAUUGCUUAUCAACAUUAACUGGAAGCCGCUGCUUCGAGUUGUCUCAAGUUGUCCUGCCUUUCUAGACCAAACCAAUGUACAUCUUACAUAUGUAUAUAUUUUAAUAUUUAUUUAUUUAUUUUGAGUUGGAGUCUUGCUCUGUUGCCCAGGCUGGAGUGCAAUGGUGUGAUCUUGGCUCACUACAACCUCCAUCUCCCAGGUUCAAGCGAUUCUCC